RNAcentral lists this long non-coding RNA (1563 nucleotides) under Equus caballus (horse). RNAcentral describes it as "lncRNA (ENSECAG00000047427.1)". Lineage: Eukaryota; Metazoa; Chordata; Mammalia; Perissodactyla; Equidae. The record is from RNAcentral.
AAGGAAACAGUGGCCAGGGGCCUAGGGGAAGUCUCCUAUUUGAAAAGGCGUGUGAGGGAUGGACUCCUUGUGAGGAGGGAAGUACUGGGAGGAGGAGGCUCUGCAAAGGCAAACAGGCAGGGGCCAAAGAGGCCUCUGAUCCCUGACUCAGUCAGUCCAUAAGCAGUGAUUCUGCUGUCCUCUGCUGGUGGGACCGGGGAGCAGCUCUGGGGGUGUCAUCAGAGGGGUCAGACAGGGCUGGCUUUAUGAUGCAUGAGAAAGGUAGAUGGUGUGGACCAUGAACAUGUGGUGGGGCAGGGCUGUGGGGGAGGCAGAGAAGUCAAUCCUAGGGGCUCCAAAGGCUCUCAGGAGGUGGCCCAGAGCUGUCUGCUCUCUUUGGUCAGGCAGGAGAUACUUGGGCUUGGGACCUGAUGUCCUUUGAGUUCCCCCUGGAUCUUGAUGCCUCCACUUCCACUCAACAACUCCACUCCAGGACUUCCUGGUGACUUGUGCAGAGGGAAAAUCAUGGCCUUGCAGAGCAGGCAGAGCCCACUGGAGUCCUGGUGGAGGCCUCUCAGUAGCCAGAUGACCUUGAGCGAAUUUUAGAACCCUCUAAGCUUGGGAUCUCUCAUCUGUUAAGAUGAUGACAAGCAACCAUGCCAAAUAAAACUUGUAGCUUGGUUCUGAGAAUUGAAUGAGUUAAUUCACGUGAAGCCACCUAAGUCUACGAAGACACUCGAUAAAUUCUGUUCUUCAUGGGGUAGCAGUGGGGGGACUUUGUGGCAAGAAGAAAAAUUGUGGGAAUGAUAAUCAUUGAAUACUUAAAACAUAUGAGUUACUAUGCUCAAUUCUUUAUUUGUACUAUAUUAUCUCAAUUAAGCCUUCUGACACUCCUAUGAGGCAGGUAGUAUGUAUCUCCCCAUUUUUCAGAUAAAGAAACUGAGGCUUCAAGAUGUUAGGUUACUUGCCUAAGGCCAAAAUGAUCGAGAAUCUGACCCAGAGCCCAAGAGCUAAACAUCUAAGAGGCUCUGCAACAAUUCCCACUUUCCCGCCGUGCCUGGAGGAUCCUUCCUGGAAAUAUGCUUUCAUUCUGUCUUUAGGUUUUUGUUUAGAUAAGCAAGGCCCUCCUGAAGGGGCCUUCUUGUCCCUCACACUAAUAGUUAUUCCUUCUCCUAAGUGUUCAGAACACUGUGGCUAUGUUUAUCCCUUACACUUUCCACGUAUUAUUUGCAUUUACACAUCUGUCUCUGGUUCCAGGCAGAUGCUCUCUGAGGGCAUGGACAGAAUGUGGUGUAAUUUCUCUUUAUUUCCUCUCUAAGUAACUGUCACUCCUAUUGCUUUGCAUGCUGUGGGCUUUUGAUAAAUGUUUGUUGACUUGAGAUGUGUCAGGCAGAGUGAGUAGAAAGCAUGACAGACCUGGGUCAGAAUCCGUACUUCCACUGACUCUGUGACCUUGGGCAAGUCACUCAACCUCUCUGGGCCUCCUUCAGUUUCCUCAACUCUAAAGUGAGACAAUAGUAUCUACCAUCAUGGGGUGUUGUGAGGAUGAAAAGAAAAAAUGCAGGCAAAGCAUUUACACAGUAC